ACUCCUACGGGAGGCAGCAGUAGGGAAUCUUCCACAAUGGGCGCAAGCCUGAUGGAGCAACACCGCGUGAGUGAAGUAAGGGUUUCGGUUCGUAAAGCUCUGUUUGUUAAAGAAGAACACGUAUGAGAGUAACUGUUCAUACGUUGACGGUAUUAACCAGAAAGUCACGGCUAACUACGUGCCAGCAGCCGCGGUAAUACGUAGGUGGCAAGCGUUAUCCGGAUUUAUUGGGCGUAAAGAGAGUGCAGGUCGGUUUCUAAGUCUGAUGUGAAAGCCUUCGGCUUAACCGGAGAAGUGCAUCGGAAACUGGAUAACUUGAGUGCAGAAGAGGUAGUGGAACUCCAUGUGUAGCGGUGGAAUGCGUAGAUAUAUGGAAGAACACCGAGUGGCGAAGGCGGCUACCUGGUCUGCAACUGACGCUGAGACUCGAAAGCAUGGGUAGCGAACAGGAUUAGAUACCCCGUGGUAGGAUAGCG
RNAcentral lists this ribosomal RNA (476 nucleotides) under uncultured bacterium. RNAcentral's name for it is "bacterial SSU rRNA". It matches the Rfam family "Bacterial small subunit ribosomal RNA", at positions 335 to 801 of the family's 1533-position model. The record is from RNAcentral.